AGAGCGAACGCUGGCGGCAGGCCUAACACAUGCAAGUCGAACGGACUCUUCGGAGUUAGUGGCGGACGGGUGAGUAACACGUGGGAACGUGCCUUUUGGUUCGGAAUAGCUCCUGGAAACGGGUGGUAAUGCCGAAUGUGCCCUUCGGGGGAAAGAUUUAUCGCCAUUAGAGCGGCCCGCGUCUGAUUAGCUAGUUGGUGAGGUAAAGGCUCACCAAGGCUACGAUCAGUAGCUGGUCUGAGAGGAUGACCAGCCACAUUGGGACUGAGACACGGCCCAAACUCCUACGGAGGCAGCAGGUGGGGAAUC
Molecule: ribosomal RNA, 309 nt
Filed under: uncultured soil bacterium
Lineage: Bacteria
Description: bacterial SSU rRNA
Rfam family: Bacterial small subunit ribosomal RNA
Source: RNAcentral